AGAGUUUGAUCCUGGCUCAGGACGAACGCUGGCGGCGUGCCUAAUACAUGCAAGUCGAGCGGACUGAUGGGAGCUUGCUCCCUGAAGUUAGCGGCGGACGGGUGAGUAACACGUGGGUAACCUGCCUGUAAGAUUGGGAUAACUCCGGGAAACCGGAGCUAAUACCGGAUAACAUUUUGAACCGCAUGGUUUAAAAUUGAAAGACGGCUUUGGCUGUCACUUACAGAUGGACCCGCGGCGCAUUAGCUAGUUGGUGAGGUAACGGCUCACCAAGGCAACGAUGCGUAGCCGACCUGAGAGGGUGAUCGGCCACACUGGGACUGAGACACGGCCCAGACUCCUACGGGAGGCAGCAGUAGGGAAUCUUCCGCAAUGGACGAAAGUCUGACGGAGCAACGCCGCGUGAACGAUGAAGGCCUUCGGGUCGUAAAGUUCUGUUGUUAGGGAAGAACAAGUACCAGAGUAACUGCUGGUACCUUGACGGUACCUAACCAGAAAGCCACGGCUAACUACGUGCCAGCAGCCGCGGUAAUACGUAGGUGGCAAGCGUUGUCCGGAAUUAUUGGGCGUAAAGCGCUCGCAGGCGGUUUCUUAAGUCUGAUGUGAAAGCCCACGGCUCAACCGUGGAGGGUCAUUGGAAACUGGGGAACUUGAGUGCAGAAGAGGAGAGUGGAAUUCCACGUGUAGCGGUGAAAUGCGUAGAGAUGUGGAGGAACACCAGUGGCGAAGGCGACUCUCUGGUCU
RNAcentral lists this ribosomal RNA (744 nucleotides) under uncultured bacterium. RNAcentral describes it as "bacterial SSU rRNA". It matches the Rfam family "Bacterial small subunit ribosomal RNA", at positions 8 to 735 of the family's 1533-position model. The record is from RNAcentral.